AAGCGAAAGGAAUCAUUGAUCUAGGACCUCCAAAGUUUUCGGCCUCAUCAACAAAACAAUAAUCUAAAAAUGGACCCUUUGCAAUAUAACAAAGCCUUCAUGAACUCUAAUUUUUUAAAAUGUUUUGUCAUUUCUUUGAUAACUAGUCCAAAAAAUACCAGAACAAUCUUUUCUUGCGUUUGGACUCCUUAAAUAUCAAGACCGGCUCUAGUGGAAAUAUAAUUAGUAGUAAGGAUUAGAUAAAUUUUCUUAUGAGUUAUUGUGUUUAUUCGACUUUAAUGAUAAACUAGAUGAGUACCCGCACUACGUGCGGGUUUAUGUAUUACUAUUUACAAAUUGUUUUAUAUAAUGUUUGUUCAUAUAACAUAAAGUAAAGUUGAAUGCAUCGGUUUUGAAACAUAAAUAUGAUUUGUAAUUGUUUUUGAAAAGUCCAACUAUAUUAGUUCAUAUGAAAAACGAAUAUGCUUGAGUUGUUUUUUUUUAUUGUUGUUCUAGAUUCUCAGUUUUUUUAAAAUUUAUAUAUCCUUGUUUUUUUUGUUAUAUGUUUAGAUUGUGGGACGGUGAAAUUUUAGAAAAUUUGUUUC
This 584-nucleotide small RNA is filed under the name Arabidopsis thaliana (thale cress). RNAcentral describes it as "ATSL053680". The record is from RNAcentral. Lineage: Eukaryota; Viridiplantae; Streptophyta; Magnoliopsida; Brassicales; Brassicaceae.